This 526-nucleotide long non-coding RNA is filed under the name Triticum aestivum (bread wheat). RNAcentral's name for it is "long non-coding RNA (TAES_LNC020843)". Lineage: Eukaryota; Viridiplantae; Streptophyta; Magnoliopsida; Poales; Poaceae. The record is from RNAcentral.
UUUUUCUUCUCCCUGGUUCGAUGAACUUUUUCAAAAUUAGUGAUUUGUUUCCAAAAUUGAUGAACAGUUUUCCAACGUGGAUGAAAUUUUUCAAAUUUGAUGAACUUUCUAAAAUUUGAUGAACUUUUUUCAAAUUCGAUGAACUUUUUUCCAUUUUGAUAAGAAAAUUUUAAAUUUAAUGAACUUUUCUUCAAAUUUGAUGAUAUUUUUUCAAAUCGAUGAAUUUUUUAGAAUCAAUGAACUAUCUUCAAAAUUGAUGAACUAUUUUUAAACUCGAUGAAAUAUUUUCAAAAUCGAUGAACUUUUUUUCAAAAGCAUUGAACAUUUUCCAUUGACUGUUUGCAAAAUCGAUGAACUUUCUAAAAGUUUGUGAACUUUUCUUCAGAAAUGAUGGACAUUUUCAAAUCCAGGAUGUUUUAAAAAUAAUUCAGAACUCCAAGCUGUAUAAUAGACGCGGCCUCGCUUGUUCUUAUACCAUUGGCACUAUUAGCACUGACCAAUGACUAGUUUCUGUGGUGGUUAUUGA